GCUUUGAUUGUUUAGCCGAAGUCCAUAUGAGUCUUUGUCUUUGUAUCUUCUAACAAGGAAACACUACUUAGGCUUUUAGGAUAAGAUUGCAGUUUAAGUUCUUAUACUCAAUCAUACACAUGAGAUCAAGUCAUAUUCGAGUCCAAAACACUAACCAAGCUUCUUCUUGCUUCUCAAAGCUUUGUUGGUUUAGCCAAAGUCCAUAUAAGUCUUUGUCUUUGUAUCUUCUAACAAGGAAACACUACUUAGGCUUUUAGGAUAAGAUUGCGGUUUAAUUUCUUAUACUCAAUCAUACACAUGACAUCAAGUUAUAUUCGACUCCAAAACACUAACAAAGCUUCUUCUUGCUUCUCAAAGCUUUGAUGGUUUAGCCAAAGUCCAUAUAAGUCUUUAUCUUUGUAUCUUCUAACAAGAAAACACUACUUAGGCUUUUAGGAUAAGGUUGCGGUUUAAGUUGUUAAUGUCAAUCAUACAUAUGGCAUCAAGUCAUAUUCGACUCCAAAACACUAACCAAGCUUCUUCUUGCUUCUAAAAGCUUUGAUGGUUUAGCCAAAGUCCAUAUGAUUCUUUAUCUUUGUAUCUUCUAACAAGGAAACACUACUUAGACUUUUAGGAUAAGGUUGCGGUUUAAGUUGUUAAUGUCAAUCAUACAUAUGGCAUCAAGUCAUAUUCGACUCCAAAACACUAACCAAGCUUCUUCUUGCUUCUAAAAGCUUUGAUGGUUUAGUCGAAGUCCAUAUGAGUCUUUGUCUUUGUAUCUUCUAACAAGGAAACACUACUUAGGCUUUUAGGAUAUGGUUGCGGUUUAAGUUCUUAUACUCAAUCAUACACAUGACUUCAAGUCAUAUUCGACUCCAAAACACUAACCAAGCUUCUUCUGGCUUCUCAAAGCUUUGAUGGUUUUGCCGAAGUCCAUUUGAGUCUUUAUCGUUGUAACUUCUAACAAGGAGACACUACUUAGGCUUUUACUAUAAGGUU
Molecule: small RNA, 978 nt
Filed under: Arabidopsis thaliana (thale cress)
Lineage: Eukaryota; Viridiplantae; Streptophyta; Magnoliopsida; Brassicales; Brassicaceae
Description: ATSL204330
Source: RNAcentral